GAUGAACGCUGGCGGCGUGCCUAAUACAUGCAAGUCGAGCGAACAGAUGAGGAGCUUGCUCCUCUGACGUUAGCGGCGGACGGGUGAGUAACACGUGGAUAACCUACCUAUAAGACUGGGAUAACUUCGGGAAACCGGAGCUAAUACCGGAUAAUAUAUUGAACCGCAUGGUUCAAUAGUGAAAGACGGUUUUGCUGUCACUUAUAGAUGGAUCCGCGCCGCAUUAGCUAGUUGGUAAGGUAACGGCUUACCAAGGCAACGAUGCGUAGCCGACCUGAGAGCGUGAUCGGCCACACUGCAACUGAGACACGGUCCAGACUCCUACGGGAGGCAGCAGUAGGGAAUCUACCGCAAUGGGCGAAAGCCUGACGGAGCAAAGCCGCGUAAGUGAUGAAGGUCUUCGGAUCGUAAAACUCUGUUAUUAGGGAAGAACAAAUGUGUAAGUAACUAUGCACGUAUUGACGGUAACUAAUCAGAAAGCCACGGCUAACUACGUG
This 497-nucleotide ribosomal RNA is filed under the name uncultured bacterium. Its description in RNAcentral is "partial 16S ribosomal RNA". It matches the Rfam family "Bacterial small subunit ribosomal RNA", at positions 28 to 507 of the family's 1533-position model. The record is from RNAcentral.